AGUUAAUUAGCUUAAAUUUAAAGCAUUUACUUUGAAAGUAUAUUAUAGGAUAAAACUUAUUAACUU
This 66-nucleotide transfer RNA is filed under the name Illinigina sp. EMHAU-15062817. RNAcentral's name for it is "tRNA-Ser". It matches the Rfam family "tRNA". Rfam says of the family: Transfer RNA (tRNA) molecules are approximately 80 nucleotides in length. Their secondary structure includes four short double-helical elements and three loops (D, anti-codon, and T loops). Further hydrogen bonds mediate the characteristic L-shaped molecular structure. tRNAs have two regions of fundamental functional importance: the anti-codon, which is responsible for specific mRNA codon recognition, and the 3' end, to which the tRNAs corresponding amino acid is attached (by aminoacyl-tRNA synthetases). tRNAs cope with the degeneracy of the genetic code in two manners: having more than one tRNA (with a specific anti-codon) for a particular amino acid; and 'wobble' base-pairing, i.e. permitting non-standard base-pairing at the 3rd anti-codon position. Lineage: Eukaryota; Metazoa; Arthropoda; Insecta; Hemiptera; Cicadellidae. The record is from RNAcentral.